UGGGGAAUUUUGGACAAUGGGGGAAACCCUGAUCCAGCCAUCCCGCGUGUGCGAUGAAGGCCUUCGGGUUGUAAAGCACUUUUGGCAGGAAAGAAACGUCAUGGGUUAAUACCCCGUGAAACUGACGGUACCUGCAGAAUAAGCACCGGCUAACUACGUGCCAGCAGCCGCGGUAAUACGUAGGGUGCAAGCGUUAAUCGGAAUUACUGGGCGUAAAGCGUGCGCAGGCGGUUCGGAAAGAAAGAUGUGAAAUCCCAGAGCUCAACUUUGGAACUGCAUUUUUAAAUACCGGGCUAGAGUGUGGCAGAGGGAGGUGGAAUUCCGCGUGUAGCAGUGAAAUGCGUAGAUAUGCGGAGGAACACCGAUGGCGAAGGCAGCCUCCUGGGAUAACACUGACGCUCAUGCACGAAAGCGUGGGGAGCAAACAGG
This 429-nucleotide ribosomal RNA is filed under the name Acidobacteriota bacterium. RNAcentral's name for it is "Acidobacteria bacterium partial 16S ribosomal RNA". It matches the Rfam family "Bacterial small subunit ribosomal RNA", at positions 355 to 776 of the family's 1533-position model. The record is from RNAcentral. Lineage: Bacteria; Pseudomonadati; Acidobacteriota.